AUUGAACGCUGGCGGCAGGCUUAACACAUGCAAGUCGAGCGGAGUGAUGGUGCUUGCACUAUCACUUAGCGGCGGACGGGUGCGUAAUGCUUAGGAAUCUGCCUAUUAGUGGGGGACAACAUCUCGAAAGGGAUGCUAAUACCGCAUACGUCCUACGGGAGAAAGCAGGGGAUCACUUGUGACCUUGCACUAAUAGAUGAGCCUAAGUCGGAUUAGCUAGUUGGUGGGGUAAAGGCCUACCAAGGCGACGAUCUGUAGCGGGUCUGAGAGGAUGAUCCGCCACACUGGGACUGAGACACGGCCCAGACUCCUACGGGAGGCAGCAGUGGGGAAUAUUGGACAAUGGGGGGAACCCUGAUCUAGCCAUGCCGCGUGUGUGAAGAAGGCCUUAUGGUUGUAAAGCACUUUAAGCGAGGAGGAGGCUCUUUUGGUUAAUACCCAAGAUGAGUGGACGUUACUCGCAGAAUAAGCACCGGCUAACUCUGUGCCAGCCGCCGCAGUAA
Molecule: ribosomal RNA, 503 nt
Filed under: uncultured bacterium
Lineage: Bacteria
Description: partial 16S ribosomal RNA
Rfam family: Bacterial small subunit ribosomal RNA
Source: RNAcentral